AAUAGAUACCCCGGUAGUCCACGCCCUAAACAAUGUACACUUGGUUGCGGGAGCUUUGACGCUUUCGUGGCCGGAACUAAAGUGUUAAGUGUACCGCCUGGGGAGUACGGCCGCAAGGCUAAAACUCAAAGAAAUUGACGGGGGCUCACACAAGCGGUGGAGCAUGUGGCUUAAUUCGAAGCAACGCGCAGAACCUUACCAGGGCUUGACAUGUACGGAUUAGUGGGGUGAAAGCCUCAUGACGCUCGCAAGAGUGGAACGUACACAGGUGCUGCAUGGCUGUCGUCAGCUCGUGCUGUGAAGUGUCGCGUUAAGUCGCUUAACGAGCGAAACCCUUAUCCUUAGUUGCCAGCGGGUCAUGCCGGGAACUCUAGGGAGACUGCCGGUGUUAAACCGGAGGAAGGUGGGGAUGACGUCAAGUCCUCAUGGCCUUUAUGCCCUGGGUUGCACACGUGCUACAAUGGCGUAUACAAAGCGACGCAAGCCAGCGAUGGCAAGCAAAUCGCCUAAAGUACGCCCCAGUUCAGAUCGC
Molecule: ribosomal RNA, 532 nt
Filed under: uncultured bacterium
Lineage: Bacteria
Description: bacterial SSU rRNA
Rfam family: Bacterial small subunit ribosomal RNA
Source: RNAcentral